RNAcentral lists this unclassified non-coding RNA (240 nucleotides) under soil metagenome. Its description in RNAcentral is "partial contains 5.8S ribosomal RNA, internal transcribed spacer 2, and large subunit ribosomal RNA". The record is from RNAcentral.
AACUGAUACUACCUGCGGGAACCUGCGGAAGGAUCAUUACCGAGUUUACAAAACUCCCAAACCCUUUGUGAACCUUACCUAUCGUUGCUUCGGCGGGACCGCCCCGGCGCCCUCGCGGCCCGGAACCAGGCGCCCGCCGGAGGCCCCAAACCCUCAUGUCUUUAGUGGUUUCCUCCUCUGAGUGACAUAAACAAAUAAAGUAAAAACUUUUAACAAUGGAUCUCUAGAUCGGAAGAGCAC